AUGUGGGGCAGGAGGGUGCAGCCCUUGGCCGCGCCAUGGGGGCACUGGUUGUUACUGGUUGUUACUGGUUGGUGCUACUGGUUGUUACUGGUUGUUACUGGUGUUGGUGUUGGCGUUGGUGUUGGUGGUGUUGGAGCUGGUGUUGGUGUUGGUGUUGGUGCUGGUGUUGGUGUUGGUGUCAGCAUCAGCGUUGGUGCUGGUGCUGGUGUUGGUGAUGUUGGUGUUGGUGCUGGUGUUGGUGGUGUUGGUGUUGGUGUCAGUGUUGGCGUCGGUGUCGGUGGUGUUGGUGAUGUUGGUGUCGGUGUUGGUGUCGGUGUUGGUGUUGGUGAUGUUGGUGUUGGUUUUGGUGUUGGCAUUGGCGUUGGUGUUGGCGUUGGUGCUGGUGCUGGUGUUGGUGCUGGUGUUGGUGUUGUUGGUGUUGUGUUGGCGUUGGCAUUGGCAUUGGUGGUGGUGUUGGUGCUGGUGUUGGUGUUGGCGCUGGUGUCGGCGUCGGUGUUGGUGCUGGUGCUGGUGUUGGCGUUGGCAUUGGCGUUGGUGUUGGUGUCGGUGUUGGUGUCAGUGUUGGCGUUGGUGUUGGUGUUGGUGCUGGUGUUGGUGUUGGUGAUGUUGGUGUUGGUGGUGUUGGUGCUGGUGUUGGUGUUGGUGUUGGUGUUGGUGCUGGUGUCGGUGUCGGUGUUGGUGUUGUUGGUGUUGUUUGGUGCUGGUGCUGGUGCUGGUUGUUACCGGCGGCGAUGUCGGGCAGCAUGGCGCAGCUCUUGGCCACACACAUGGGGGCACCGUGUGUCACUGGUGGUGGUGUUGGUGGUGCUGGUGUCGGUGUCGGUGUUGGUGUUGGUGUUAUUGGUGUUGUUGUUGGUGGUGUUGGUGUUAUUGGUGUUAUUGGUGUUGGUGGUGUUGUUGGUGCUGGUGCUGGUUGUUACCGGCGGCGAUGUCGGGCAGCAUGGCGCAGCUCUUGGCCACGCGC
Numida meleagris (helmeted guineafowl) is the source of this 964-nucleotide long non-coding RNA. The record is from Ensembl. Lineage: Eukaryota; Metazoa; Chordata; Aves; Galliformes; Numididae.